UACGGAGGGGGCAAGCGUUGUUCGGAAUUACUGGGCAUAAAGGGCGCGUAGGCGGUCUGUCGCGUCAGGUGUGAAAGCCCCGGGCUCAACCUGGGAGGUGCACUUAAUACGGGCAGGCUGGAGUCCGAGAGAGGUGAGUGGAAUUCCCAGUGUAGAGGUGAAAUUCGUAGAUAUUGGGAAGAACACCAGUGGCGAAGGCGGCUCACUGGCUCGGAACUGACGCUGAGGCGCGAAAGCGUGGGGAGCAAACAGG
Molecule: unclassified non-coding RNA, 253 nt
Filed under: uncultured Alphaproteobacteria bacterium
Lineage: Bacteria; Pseudomonadati; Pseudomonadota; Alphaproteobacteria
Description: contains 16S-23S intergenic spacer region
Rfam family: Bacterial small subunit ribosomal RNA
Source: RNAcentral